AAAGUCGUAACAAGGUCUCCGUUGGUGAACCAGCGGAGGGAUCAUUACCGAGUUCUACGCUCAAAACCCCCUGUGAACAUACCUAUUACAGUUGCUUCGGCGGGCUGCCGGGCUCGCCCUCGUGCGCUUCUGCGCCCCGGGCGACCUGGCCGCCUCAGACCGGCCCGCCGGAGGUCUCAAACUCAACGUCUACGCUUUUGCAUUGGAAUCUGAGUGUAAAAAAAAUAAGUUAAAACUUUCAACAAUGGAUCUCUUGGUUCUG
Molecule: unclassified non-coding RNA, 262 nt
Filed under: fungal sp.
Lineage: Eukaryota; Fungi
Description: partial contains small subunit ribosomal RNA, internal transcribed spacer 1, and 5.8S ribosomal RNA
Rfam family: Eukaryotic small subunit ribosomal RNA (bases 1-47)
Source: RNAcentral